This 348-nucleotide ribosomal RNA is filed under the name Triticum aestivum (bread wheat). Its description in RNAcentral is "partial small subunit ribosomal RNA". The record is from RNAcentral. Lineage: Eukaryota; Viridiplantae; Streptophyta; Magnoliopsida; Poales; Poaceae.
AUGUACUUUGGCGAGCCCCUUAUUCGUAGAAUAGCAGAUUUUGACAUUAUUAAUUGGUGGAAAGUUGGAGGUGCCAAGUGCCCUACUUUGCAGAAGAUUGCUCAUGAUAUAUUACCCACCCCUGUUACAUCUGUGGCAUCGGAGUCGGUCUUUAGUACUAGUGGGAGGUUACUUAGUGCAUAUCGCAGUCGGCUUACACCAACCAUAGCUGAAGCUCUUAUGUGUAUGCAAGCUUGGUCACGAGCGGACAUGUUAGGUGAUAUCAACUUCGCUUUGCAAGCGGUUCAAUCUGUUCUUGAGGAUGAAGAAGUGAUGGAUGAAAAUGAGCCCACCAUUACUGAAGACUAA